Molecule: transfer RNA, 63 nt
Filed under: Rachovia maculipinnis
Lineage: Eukaryota; Metazoa; Chordata; Actinopteri; Cyprinodontiformes; Rivulidae
Description: tRNA-Tyr
Source: RNAcentral
UAAGGUGGCUGAUUAAGCGGUGGACUGUAGUUCCAGAUAUGAAGGUUUGACCCCUUUUCUUAC